GAUGAACGCUGACGGAAUGCUUAACACAUGCAAGUCGACUGUGGCGGACGGGUGAGUAACGCGUAAAGAACUUGCCUCACAGCUAGGGACAACAUUUGGAAACGAAUGCUAAUACCUGAUACUGUGAGAGAGCUUUGCGUCCCAUUAGCUAGUUGGGGAGGUAACGGCUCACCAAGGCGAGGAUGGGUAGCCGGCCUGAGAGGGUGAUCGGCCACAAGGGGACUGAGACACGGCCCUUAGGCCUACGGGAGGCAGCAGUGGAGAAUAUAGGACAAUGGACCAAAGUAUGAUCAAGCAAUUCUGUGUGCAAGAUGAAGUUUUCGGGAUGAAAAGUGCUUUCAGUUGGGAAGCGGUACCAACAGAAGAAGUGACGGCUAAAUACGUGCCAGCCGCCGCGGUAAUAC
Molecule: ribosomal RNA, 404 nt
Filed under: uncultured bacterium
Lineage: Bacteria
Description: partial 16S ribosomal RNA
Rfam family: Bacterial small subunit ribosomal RNA
Source: RNAcentral